GUCCUAGCCGUAAACGAUGGUCACUAGGUGUUGCGGGUAUCGACCCCUGCAGUGCCGAAGCUAACGCAUUAAGUGACCCGCCUGGGGAGUACGGCCGCAAGGUUGAAACUCAAAGGAAUUGACGGGGGCCCCACAAGCGGUGGAGCAUGUGGCUCAAUUCGAGGCUACGCGAAGAACCUUACCUGGGUUUGACAUCCUUGGAAUCCCCCUGAAAGGGGGAGUGCCCUUCGGGGAGCCAAGAGACAGGUGGUGCAUGGCUGUCGU
Molecule: ribosomal RNA, 264 nt
Filed under: uncultured bacterium
Lineage: Bacteria
Description: partial 16S ribosomal RNA
Rfam family: Bacterial small subunit ribosomal RNA
Source: RNAcentral